UGAUUAGGGUUAAUUGAUUAGGGUUCUAAACUGAACCAAUGGGUUAAGAACUGAAGCUAUGUCUGAUAAUUUACAUCGGUUGAUUAGGGAGUUAAUUGAUUAGUCGUUUGAUUAGUAGAAUUCUUUUUUGAUGAGUAGUUUAUUGAUUAGUCUGUGCCUCAUUGAGUUGAUUAUUUCUUUGAUGAGUAGUUUACAUAAGUUGAUGAGUAGUUUACAUAAGUUGUUAUUUCUUUGUUUCAUACACUUGAUUAGUAGUUUGAAAGAGUUGGUUACCGGACAAGUCUUUGUUUUUUCUCACCUAUAGAGUAGAAGUUUUCAUUGAGUUGAUUUCUUCUGUCUUCUUUAUGACUUAAACGUAAUUGUUUUAGUUGGUGUGGACAUUUAAGAUAGCGUACUGUGAAAACUUUAAGAUAGCUUACUGUGUUUGUGAUUUUGUGUAAGAUACCGUACUGUGUUUGUGAUUUUGUGUAAGAAUGUUUAAGAUAGUGUGGAGAUAUGUUUGCUUGGUUUAAUGAGUGUAAUGGGAAGUAGUUGGAAAACAAGUUUACUAUAGUUUCGUUGUUUUUUCUGUCUUCUGUCUUCUUUAUAGUUUCGUUUGUUGUUGUUCUCGUUCGGUUAAGAUAAAGCUUAAAGUUGAGCUUUGUUGUUAUUACUGUAAUAAGUUCUGAUUAGACCCUGGUAGUUUGUGGUUAGGUCUUUAAGAAGGUUACUUAUUACA
Molecule: long non-coding RNA, 718 nt
Filed under: Brassica napus (rape)
Lineage: Eukaryota; Viridiplantae; Streptophyta; Magnoliopsida; Brassicales; Brassicaceae
Description: long non-coding RNA (BNAP_LNC025542)
Source: RNAcentral